AUGCCUUCCUGGAACGACGAGGAAACCAGCUCGGAGGAGGAGUGCGAGGCUGUCAGCAUGGACAUGGGACUUAUGGAGGAACCAGACACCACUGUGGAGCCCCUUUUCUGUGGCCAACUUGAGCUUGCUCAUCCCAAGUGCAUUCUGCACCAACUGAGGCCUAUUAAGCAUGUUGCUUUUGAAGGGCCUGUAACAGGGAGGCAUUUCUAUGGCUGCCCAGUCCAGGAAAAUGGUGUGAAUUGUGGUGUUGCAGAGUGGGUUGAUGGGCCUUGGCCAACUGUUCUUCAGAGAUGUUUGUGCAAGCUAUGGGAGAUGUUCCAUGAGCAGAACUUUGGAAGGGUACAGGACAAGGAGAAGUUUGAGCAGGAGUUGGCAAGGCUUAAGAGUGAACAUGAAAGGGAGUUGGCCAAGCUGAGGACUAAAAAUGACAAGCUUUGCAUUGAGUACACCAAGCUUGUUGAUGAUGUAUCCAAGAUGUUUGAUUGGCAGGAUGGUAGGGUGGACAAGAAACAAGUGGAGGAGGAAGAACUUGAGAAGAAGAAGGAGCUAGAGGAGAAAGCCAUGUUGGAGGUGCAGAUGGAAAAGCUCAAACUUGCAAAAGAGCAGAGGUGCAUUUUGCAGAGCCAAGCUGUUAUCAUCAAGAACACUAGGAAGGCUAUGAAGGAUGUUGAAGUUGACAGAGAUGUUCUUAAGAAGGAGAAGGCAAAGCUUGAGCUUGUUGUUGCUGAGCUGCUGAAUGAAGGGUAUGGCAGCAAGGAGAAGUUAGAGCAAAUCAAGGCCAUCCUUGAGUCUUGA
Molecule: ribosomal RNA, 795 nt
Filed under: Triticum aestivum (bread wheat)
Lineage: Eukaryota; Viridiplantae; Streptophyta; Magnoliopsida; Poales; Poaceae
Description: partial small subunit ribosomal RNA
Source: RNAcentral